Molecule: ribosomal RNA, 229 nt
Filed under: uncultured bacterium
Lineage: Bacteria
Description: partial 16S ribosomal RNA
Rfam family: Bacterial small subunit ribosomal RNA
Source: RNAcentral
AGGUAACGCGUAUGCAACCUACCUAUCAGAGGGGGAUAACCCGGCGAAAGUCGGACUAAUACCGCAUGAAGCAGGGGCCCCGCAUGGGGAGUAUUUGCUAAAGAAUUCAUCGCUGAUAGAUAGGCAUGCGUUCCAUUAGGCAGUUGGCGGGGUAACGGCCCACCAAACCGACGAUGGAUAGGGGUUCUGAGAGGAAGGUCCCCCACAUUGGUACUGAGACACGGACCAA